This is a non-coding RNA of Microcebus murinus (gray mouse lemur), 2992 nucleotides long. The record is from RefSeq and is a predicted model, not a curated record. NCBI's taxonomy places the organism in Eukaryota, Metazoa, Chordata, Mammalia, Primates, Cheirogaleidae.
GUUAAUAUUUCACUUCAGUGAGACUGUAGGGAACAAAGAACACGAGGCUGGCCUUGAGGGGCCAAAGGUAGGCGGCCCACAGCUCGAUGCGGCUCAUAAAUAAGAACAGCGCUAACGUACUUUGGAUAAGAGCACGGCUCAGCCUCCCGCGGAACAGCUGGGGAAGCUAUUCAUAGGAAAGUGUGCUAUUUGCGGCUGCCUGGCAUUUGAACUGGGCUCACCUAACUGCGCCUGCCUUCCCCGCAAAUGCCCACCCAAUGCGACUUCCAGAAGGAGAUCAUGCUUACUGUCCAGACAUUGGUAGAUGGACUUGACUCGGAUGUCACCACUGCCGGAGCAGUCGUCCCGGGAGCUCACCAGGGCAGCCCGGCCCCGCCCCACCCACCACCCUCCCAGGGACCUUUGUCUGGGCCACAGGCUGUGCUCCCUUGGAGAAAGAGGUCCUACAGGGCAAGCCGUCCUGCCUGCUGACUUUCACCCGCGGGGACCCCAGCGGCCAGGCAGCAUGAUACGACGGGAACACCAUCAGGCACCAGAGCUGGCGCGGUCUCAGCCCCUCCCGGCCCACCCUGGGCGCCGACACCGAUGCGGGCACAUCACGGGAACAGGCAGCUGGGGCUCCUUUAAGAAGGAAAGUAAACUCCAAGAACCAUUUUUUAAAAAUAGGAUGUUGCUUCCAACUCUCAGAAGGGAGCUUUUAUAUUUCCACCACCCGGUACAGCGCAAGCUCCGCUGUGCUGGGAUUCAGCUGUCUCCUUGACAGCUGAGCCUAGGAUAGAUUAGCGCCCAGCCCCUGCGCCUAGCACAGGGCCUGGUGUCGCAGGUACUCCUAAGUGUUGCUGCAGGUGCCGGUGUUACUGGAGGGAAAAAUCAAGGCCAAGAAGCUGCUAAGGGAUAGCUAAAUCUGGCACACACGAUCUCAUUUCAUUUCAUUUAAAAAUUCUGCUAUCUCAGCUCUUUGACCACAGGUGUGAGCCAGGGCAUGAGAGAGAGGAGCAAUGAAUAAAGCCCACCUUUCUUCCUCCUCCUCCUCCUCCCUUCACACCCCUGGUUUCCUCCCAGGCUCUGAGAGAGAACUCGGUGUUCUGCGAGGGGUGGGGCUUCUUACUGAGGAGCAAGCAACAGGGUAGGGGAAUGGGUGGGGUGGGUGGUGGCAGUAAGGUCACCCAAAGGAACCUUUCAGCCACCUAGAAAUGAAAAAGCAAGAUUAAAGUCACCCCCCAAAACAGGACAGAGGGUCUUGGAGCCUUUCCCUCCAUCUCGCAAUCACCACCCCACCCCCCUAUACACACACGUUAGCUUUUCAACCUCUGACACUUUGCUAUGGGCAACCUGAAAAGUUUGCAUUUCUAGAUAAAUAGAUGGAAGAAAAGUAGCCAGGACCCUGGUUCCUGUAACUGCCCUGAGCUUUUCCCAACAGCGCGACUCUUCUUCCUCUGAGAAGGGUGACAGGCUCUGGCCGGAGCUAAAUCUGGAAAGCAAGCAGUCGUAGACACGGGCUCUUUGCCAAGAACCAGUGCUAUUAAACCUAAGGACUUGGUCCCUCCACCCCCAAGGAUCCUGAAGGUGGCUGCUCACAGGUGGCCGAGGUGCAUCGCUGUCCAUGGCAAUCACAGCACGGCUUGGUGACCGGCACCAGCUCCUCCUUUGCGUGCCUUCUGGGCGUCCCCCGUGGAGCGGCAGAGCCUGGCCUCUGUGGAAAAGUGAGAUCUUCCUCAAGCCCUGGAGAUGGGGUAGAGGUUCUUCUUUGACACCCAUAAAAGCUCUCACCUCCCCUCAAAACUUUGGAGAUUUUCAUUCUUGUCUUAAUAGCCAGAGUUGCCACGCAUUCUGUCCAGGAUUUCAUCUACUCGGCAAACUCCAUAUCGCAAACUCAGUAUUUCUUCAAUAAACUCAGUAUUCAUUUACCAUUAUCUGGUGAGCAAAAGUAGUCCAAACUCUUGGACUUUGUUCUUUAAGGUGAAAGAUUGUGCCUCUUGGUGAAAAUACCCAGAUUCUAAGAGUGAGACCCUGGGGCAAAUGCAGGCUCCAGCUAAUCCAAGUGUUGGCUGCGAGACAGGAGUCAGCAGGAUUUCACCUGGGUGGUCAAUUUUUAUCUAAAAUAGAGCUAUGCCUGCAUUAAUUUGUCACCAAUGGAAUGAAAUUCUAGCCUGCUGAGUAUGAUAGAGUUUGAUGUGAGGAGUGGUCAGUUAUACAGAAAAUUUGAAACAAAAGCCCACGAGAAGGCUGCAUUUCCCAGCACCCAUUGACUCCUUCCUAACAGGGUGACAGAGAGCUGGCACUGCCACAUGGAAUGUGCUCAAAUCAAAGCCUCAGUUUCAGCCUCUCACAGAAGCUUCUUGGGCCACCCUAUCUAGAACAGACCCUGCCUGCUAUUCUUAACCAGGCAGAGGGGACAGGACGGCCUGAGCAAAGACCCAGGGGUGGGAGAAGGCAUGGCAUUUGCAGGGACUGGCAGAGGGCCAGGGUGACGGCCACAGUGAGUGCUGGGGAAAGCGGCGCGGGAUAAGGUCGAGAGUCGGCAAGGACCUGUCUGUGCAGAACGGUGGCGAGGAGCCUGCCCUUUCUCCCCAUGCCCAGGGCAGGGAAGAAGGAUUUGCAGAUUUCUUACAUGUGCCUUGGCUUAAGCAAAGCUUUCUGCCCUCGUUCCAGCCGCAGCACAGGGUGGCGUUUGCCGUGCCUGACUCCCCUGUGCGAGGCGCUGGGGGUAGAAGCACCGUCUGGAGGGGUCAAUGGUGACGCGAGUGGAUAAGCCACAUCACAAUGGGGCUUGAGCUACAGGGAGAGAGGAGUGUGCACGUCCCUGCUUGGACGAGGGGGCAGGUUGUGAGGGCUCCGGGGCACUUUGGGCAGAUUCUUCCGGCAACUUUAGUCCCGCUGCUACUGUGUGUCUAGCUGAAGAGCCUCCUGGUUGGCCUCAUCACCCCCUGCCUGUCUUCUCCACCAGCCCCCGGAACACGGAGUUCUGUGUGCUGGACUCUGGGAGGCCAAG